AGAUUAUUAUUAAUGAUUACUUACAAUAAUUAUAAGUUUAUUAAAUUAAACAUAAUCUA
RNAcentral lists this transfer RNA (59 nucleotides) under Thrips hawaiiensis. Its description in RNAcentral is "tRNA-Val". The record is from RNAcentral. Lineage: Eukaryota; Metazoa; Arthropoda; Insecta; Thysanoptera; Thripidae.